CAGCUUGGUGGACUUGAAGAUCAAAAUCAGAGAGCUCCCUCUUGAUGGAAGGAGACUGCUCAUGCUCGUCUUCUCCUUCAUAAGCUUCCUCCACUUCAGUUUUAGCAGGACUCUCAUGAUUCAUAAUCCUCACAUUUCCCCUUGAAUUCUUCUGCACACCAAAGGGUACCGUGACAUCAAGGGUGGCCGGCUUCAAAUCACGACGCUCUGAUGAAAUCUUCGGGUGCUGUAUUUCGCCAAGUUGAGCUUUAAGGUCCCCGGUUGCAGACCCUUCAGCAGCACCCUGAAGAAAUAAACAAAGCAGUAAAAAAGGAGAGACACCUGCACAAGGCCAUGACAAAAGAUAAAGCUUGUUCUGAAUCCUUUUUAUAAUUCUAUUCAAUCUUCUUUGCGCAUUCCAACUUCGUACGAUUCCUAUAAUCCUAUUGCCGCUCACAUCUUGUCUGACUCAAAUAUAGCGGUAACAUUGAAGCAAGAGUGAUUCAAAAGUUAGCCAUAAUCGAUGGGAAGAAGCAGAACAAGAAAUAGAAGCCUGUCCACACAAAGCCGCGAACCACAGAAGGAAGGACCGACACCUUCAACACUUGGUGAAAAUAUUGCUAGAGAGUUGGCCAGAGUUGUAGUAUAUGACGCUACUCCUCAAAACUCCACGAAUAUUUGUCUUUUGAAAUAGACCUAAGCAGUGGAAGAAGACCAACCAACCAUUCAAAAAUUCAGAUAAACAAUGUAUGCCAAUCAACUAAAACUUGCAGUACAAGAAUAAAUUCUUAGAAACAAUAUUUAUAUACGA
Vigna angularis (adzuki bean) is the source of this 790-nucleotide long non-coding RNA. RefSeq lists it as uncharacterized. NCBI's taxonomy places the organism in Eukaryota, Viridiplantae, Streptophyta, Magnoliopsida, Fabales, Fabaceae. The transcript has 2 exons. The record is from RefSeq and is a predicted model, not a curated record.